This 72-nucleotide transfer RNA is filed under the name Marmota marmota marmota (Alpine marmot). It matches the Rfam family "tRNA". Rfam says of the family: Transfer RNA (tRNA) molecules are approximately 80 nucleotides in length. Their secondary structure includes four short double-helical elements and three loops (D, anti-codon, and T loops). Lineage: Eukaryota; Metazoa; Chordata; Mammalia; Rodentia; Sciuridae. The record is from Rfam by way of RNAcentral. RNAcentral also lists the same sequence under 3 other names.
UGGGUUGUAGCUCAGUGGUAGAGUGCUUGCCUAGCAUGUGUGAGGUACUGGGUUCAAUCCUCAGCACCACAU